AGCUUUAUAGUGUAAAUUAUACUGCACAAUAGACUGCAAGUCUAAAAGAGAAAGAAAACUUCUAAAGCUU
Molecule: transfer RNA, 70 nt
Filed under: Astrohamma tuberculatum
Lineage: Eukaryota; Metazoa; Echinodermata; Ophiuroidea; Euryalida; Gorgonocephalidae
Description: tRNA-Cys
Source: RNAcentral